RNAcentral lists this ribosomal RNA (491 nucleotides) under uncultured bacterium. RNAcentral describes it as "partial 16S ribosomal RNA". It matches the Rfam family "Bacterial small subunit ribosomal RNA", at positions 29 to 506 of the family's 1533-position model. The record is from RNAcentral.
AGUGAACGCUGGCGGUAGGCCUAACACAUGCAAGUCGAACGGCAGCACAGUAAGAGCUUGCUCUUACGGGUGGCGAGUGGCGGACGGGUGAGGAAUACAUCGGAAUCUACUUUUUCGUGGGGGAUAACGUAGGGAAACUUACGCUAAUACCGCAUACGACCUACGGGUGAAAGCAGGGGAUCUUCGGACCUUGCGCGAUUGAAUGAGCCGAUGUCGGAUUAGCUAGUUGGCGGGGUAAAGGCCCACCAAGGCGACGAUCCGUAGCUGGUCUGAGAGGAUGAUCAGCCACACUGGAACUGAGACACGGUCCAGACUCCUACGGGAGGCAGCAGUGGGGAAUAUUAGACAAUGGGCGCAAGCCUGAUCCAGCCAUACCGCGUGGGUGAAGAAGGCCUUCGGGUUGUAAAGCCCUUUUGUUGGGAAAGAAAAGCAGCAGGUUAAUACCCCGCUGUUCUGACGGUACCCAAAGAAUAAGCACCGGCUAACUUCGU